GACGAACGCUGGCGGCGUGCUUAACACAUGCAGGUCGAACGGAAAGGCCCUGCUUUUGUGGGGUGCUCGAGUGGCGAACGGGUGAGUAACACGUGAGUAACCUGCCCUUGACUUUGGGAUAACUUCAGGAAACUGGGGCUAAUACCGGAUAGGAGCUCCUGCUGCAUGGUGGGGGUGGGAAAGUUUCGGCGGUUGGGGAUGGACUCGCGGCUUAUCAGCUUGUUGGUGGGGUAGUGGCUGACCAAGGCUUUGACGGGUAGCCGGCCUGAGAGGGUGACCGGCGACAUUGGGACUGAGAUACGGCCCAGUCUCCUACGGGAGGCAGCAGUGGGGAAUCUUGCACAACGGGAGGAAGCGUGAUGAAGAAACGCCGCGUGUGGGAUGACGGCCUUCGGGUUGUGAACCGCUUUAGCCUGUGACGAAGCGUGAGUGACGGUAAUGGGUAAAGAAGCACCGGCUAACUACGUG
RNAcentral lists this ribosomal RNA (468 nucleotides) under uncultured bacterium. Its description in RNAcentral is "partial 16S ribosomal RNA". It matches the Rfam family "Bacterial small subunit ribosomal RNA", at positions 28 to 507 of the family's 1533-position model. The record is from RNAcentral.